Candoia aspera is the source of this 825-nucleotide long non-coding RNA. RefSeq lists it as uncharacterized. NCBI's taxonomy places the organism in Eukaryota, Metazoa, Chordata, Lepidosauria, Squamata, Candoiidae. The transcript is spliced from 2 exons. The record is from RefSeq and is a predicted model, not a curated record.
GCUGAGCCGUCGCCCUGCGCGCACCGGCAGUUUUGCGUGCGGCAUUUGCAGCUGCGGGGGGAAAAGUCCAGCAUGCGGGGUUGAAAAGAGGGGGGCGGGUGGAAGAAAAAGUGGAUCAAGGCCCUGAGGAAAUCGUCGUUUCAAACUGGCAAAGCCAUGGAUUGCUUCAGCCACAGAAUAUUUCGUGUUUCCAGAUACACAGGCCUCAAUGUCUUCAGGACUCAGCUGUGUUUGUACGAAGAGAUGAAGUCUACUGUCUGAAAGCAACACUGGAUUCUGGAGUACCCUUUAAAAAAAUACAAAAUUUGAGCUGCCUUCCAAGAACAUUUACUCAAUAUUGUUUUGCCUUAAAGUUACUUUUAAUUUCAUACCCAUUGCAGUUUGAAUGCAGUAUAAAUAUUAUAAUGUGUUUGAGCAAGUGAUACCUACCUUUAUUAAAUUAUUUGGAAUUUUAGGUGAGUAAAAAACAUGAAGCUAAUAGUUAUGAACAUCUGUUAUAUAAGUAAUUUUCAAGGAUUUUUUUUUAAAUUUACCCAUCUGUUACUACCAUGUGGAUCAAUUACUUGUUUGGCUGGGAGAAAGGGUGUGUGCCUCUAUGUGUGGUGGUGGAACUAACAUAAUAUUAUGGGAAAUGAUGCAUAAUCGGUAAUUUUGAAUAUGUGAUAAAAUUAUUGCCUUGGUAUUAUAGAAUUUACAGAAAUCAAAUGCCUAUGUAAAAUAGAAAUUAUUUAUUUUGCAAAUAUAUGUAUUUUUCUCAAUAUAAAAAGUGCAAUUACCAUUAUGUAUGUUACCUUUACAAAGGUUGAUAAAAUUACUUGAGAUGAA